CAGUGGGGAAUUUUCCGCAAUGGGCGAAAGCCUGACGGAGCAAUGCCGCGUGGAGGUGGAAGGCCGUACGGGUCGUCAACUUCUUUCUCGGAGAAGAAACAAUGACGGUAUCUGAGGAAUAAGCAUCGGCUAACUCUGUGCCAG
This 144-nucleotide ribosomal RNA is filed under the name uncultured bacterium. RNAcentral's name for it is "partial 16S rRNA". It matches the Rfam family "Bacterial small subunit ribosomal RNA", at positions 352 to 511 of the family's 1533-position model. The record is from RNAcentral.